GACGAACGCUGGCGGCGUGCUUAACACAUGCAAGUCGAACGGAAAGGCCCUGCUUUUGUGGGGUGCUCGAGUGGCGAACGGGUGAGUAACACGUGAGUAACCUGCCCUUGACUUUGGGAUAACUUCAGGAAACUGGGGCUAAUACCGGAUAGGAGCUCCUGCUGCAUGGUGGGGGUUGGAAAGUGUCGGCGGUUGGGGAUGGACUCGCGGCUUAUCAGCUUGUUGGUGGGGUAGUGGCUUACCAAGGCUUUGACGGGUAGCCGGCCUGAGAGGGUGAGCGGCCACAUUGGGACUGAGAUACGGCGCAGACUCCGACGGGAGGCAGCAGUGGGGAAUAUUGCACAAUGGGCGGAAGCCUGAUGCAGCAACGCCGCGUGCGGGAUGACGGCCUUCGGGUUGUAAACCGCUUUCGCCUGGGACGAAGCGUGAGUGACGGUAAUGGGUAAAGAAGCACCGGCUAACUACGUG
Molecule: ribosomal RNA, 468 nt
Filed under: uncultured bacterium
Lineage: Bacteria
Description: partial 16S ribosomal RNA
Rfam family: Bacterial small subunit ribosomal RNA
Source: RNAcentral